GAUGAACGCUGGCGGCGUGCCUAGUACAUGCAAGUCGAGCGAACGGACGAGAAGCUUGCCUCUCUGAUGUUAGCGGCGGACGGGUGAGUAACACGUGGAUAACCUACCUAUAAGACUGGGAUAACUUCGGGAAACCGUAGCUAAUACCGGAUAAUAUUUUGAACCGCAUGGUUCAAAAUUGAAAGACGGUCUUGCUGUCACUUAUAGAUGGAUCCGCGCUGCAUUAUCUAGUUGGUAAGGUAACGGCAUACCAAGGCAACGAUGCAUAGCCGACCUGAGAGGGUGAUCCGCCACACUGGAACUGAGACACGGUCCAGACUCCUACGGGAGGCAGCAGUAGGGAAUCUUCCGCAAUGGGCGAAAGCCUGACGGAGCAACGCCGCGUGAGUGAUGCAGGUCUUCGGAUCGUAAAACUCUGUUAUUAGGGAAGAACAUAUGUGUAAGUAACUGUGCACAUCUUGACGGUACCUAAUCAGAAAGCCACGGCUAACUACGUG
Molecule: ribosomal RNA, 497 nt
Filed under: uncultured bacterium
Lineage: Bacteria
Description: partial 16S ribosomal RNA
Rfam family: Bacterial small subunit ribosomal RNA
Source: RNAcentral